AGAGUUUGAUCCUGGCUCAGAGUGAACGCUGGCGGCGUGCCUAAUACAUGCAAGUCGAACGGACGAGUAAGAGCUUGCUCUUAUGAGUUAGUGGCGCACGGGUGAGUAAUGUAUAGUUAAUCUGCCCUACACUGGAGGACAACAGUUAGAAAUGACUGCUAAUACUCCAUACUCCUUCUUAACACAAGUUAAGUCGGGAAAGUUUUUUCGGUGUAGGAUGAGACUAUAUUGUAUCAGCUAGUUGGUGAGGUAAUGGCUCACCAAGGCUAUGACGCAUAACUGGUCUGAGAGGAUGAUCAGUCACACUGGAACUGAGACACGGUCCAGACUCCUACGGGAGGCAGCAGUAGGGAAUAUUGCUCAAUGGGGGAAACCCUGAAGCAGCAACGCCGCGUGGAGGAUGACACUUUUCGGAGCGUAAACUCCUUUUGUUAGGGAAGAACAAUGACGGUACCUAACGAAUAAGCACCGGCUAACUCCGUGCCAGCAGCCGCGGUAAUACGGAGGGUGCAAGCGUUACUCGGAAUCACUGGGCGUAAAGGACGCGUAGGCGGAUUAUCAAGUCUUUUGUGAAAUCUAAUGGCUCAACCAUUAAACUGCUUGAGAAACUGAUAAUCUAGAGUGAGGGAGAGGCAGAUGGAAUUGGUGGUGUAGGGGUAAAAUCCGUAGAGAUCACCAGGAAUACCCAUUGCGAAGGCGAUCUGCUGGAACUUAACUGACGCUAAUGCGUGAAAGCGUGGGGAGCAAACAGGAUUAGAUACCCUGGUAGUCCACGCCCUAAACGAUGUAUACUAGUUGUUGCUGUGCUAGUCAUGGCAGUAAUGCACCUAACGGAUUAAGUAUACCGCCUGGGGAGUACGGUCGCAAGAUUAAAACUCAAAGGAAUAGACGGGGACCCGCACAAGCGGUGGAGCAUGUGGUUUAAUUCGAAGAUACGCGAAGAACCUUACCUGGGCUUGAUAUCCUAAGAACCUUGUAGAGAUACGAGGGUGCUAGCUUGCUAGAACUUAGUGACAGGUGCUGCACGGCUGUCGUCAGCUCGUGUCGUGAGAUGUUCGGUUAAGUCCGGCAACGAGCGCAACCCACGUAUUUAGUUGCUAACAGUUCGGCUGAGCACUCUAAAUAUACUGCCUUCGUAAGGAGGAGGAAGGUGUGGCCGACGUCAAGUCAUCAUGGCCCUUAUGCCCAGGGCGACACACGUGCUCAAUGGCAUAUACAAUGAGACGCAAUAUCGCGAGAUGGAGCAAAUCUAUAAAAUAUGUCCCAGUUCGGAUUGUUCUCUGCAACUCGAGAGCAUGAAGCCGGAAUCGCUAGUAAUCGUAGAUCAGCCAUGCUACGGUGAAUACGUUCCCGGGUCUUGUACUCACCGCCCGUCACACCAUGGAGUUGAUUUCACUCGAAGCCGG
This 1406-nucleotide ribosomal RNA is filed under the name Campylobacter lanienae. Its description in RNAcentral is "16S ribosomal RNA". It matches the Rfam family "Bacterial small subunit ribosomal RNA". The record is from RNAcentral. Lineage: Bacteria; Pseudomonadati; Campylobacterota; Epsilonproteobacteria; Campylobacterales; Campylobacteraceae.